Molecule: long non-coding RNA, 2032 nt
Organism: Ostrinia nubilalis (European corn borer)
Lineage: Eukaryota; Metazoa; Arthropoda; Insecta; Lepidoptera; Crambidae
Exons: 4
Source: RefSeq, a predicted model, not a curated record
AACGAUUAACGAAUAGCCUGCCAUAAACCAAACCGAAACCGUCCCACCAGAUGCACCGACAGAGGGGCGCCACCAUCGUUUAACUCUAUAGUUUUUAAUAGUCAAAAAUUGGAACCAGCGAUCCGGCAUUGAUGGUGGCGCCCCGCCGCCAACGCCACGGAUAGGUCACGGUUGGGUCCAUACAUAAAUAUAGUGAUCUGUGGAAUGAAUAAAACAAAACACCGUCGUAUGAUUAAAAUUUCUCUCUGACCGCCGCCAGCCAGCCAUGCCACUUCGCUCCAAUCACGCCAUACAUAAGUGCCACGUAAUCACUGUUAAAAUACCACCAAGCAACAAAUAAACAGAGGAGAGGCGUACUUGUCGUGAGGAUACCAUGGGUGUGUGUUUUGUGGUAGUGUUUUCGCUGCGACAAAGAUGACGCUCUGGCAGUUCGAAAGAUCAACGACUUUGAUGUCUUCCAGGUCCAGUGAUGAUAAUAUAUUGAGGAAGCAACCACUAUAGCACCAUCACACUAAAGCGAGAUGGGUCGCUAGGCACCUAUGCUGGGACGAAACCAUGUAACCCGUGUACAUGUUACGUGCAUACACUGUAGGGCACGAAUCGGCGGGGGGAGAUCGUUCCAACAACGCGUCGCAGCGAACCUGAAGGAGCCACGAAAUGCGACUGUUCGAUGCCUCGGUGUGGAGAAAAUGUGGGUGCAUGCUCGUUUCGGAUACUUUCUAUGACCAUCAGCCCACUCCAACUUAUCAUACAGAUAUUUGGGCUUUGCUGCUACAAUAAUGCCAAACAACAUAGUGGCGAGAUGCAACCUCCUGCGCGCCUCCAUUUUAAUAAGGCCUGCAGAGUUUAAGAAGGGGGUAAUAUGUGUGCGUGGCGGCACAGUAAAACAGAAACGCGCACAUGCAUUCUGAACUCUUUGAAGCAGUUUCGCUGACCUGGCGAGUAGGCAUGGACCAUACACUGUGUCACAGUAGUUUAGUUUGGACAGUACAAGAGAUUCACAAAGUAAUAUUCUGAGUUUCUCACUAAUAUAUGGUCUAAGCCUGUACAGCACUUUUAGCCGAUAAAAGCAGCUCCUAACACACUCACUGAUAUGGCUCUCGAAACGAAGGUGGCUGUCAAAAACUAUGCCCAGGUUCCUUGCUUCCACCACUCUCUCAAUGGGCUCUCCAUUUAUAAAAACAUUGAGGGCUAUAGUACUUAGUUUUUUUUAUAUUUUUAGCAGUUCCAAAAAGCAUAAGUUUUGAUUUUUUGGGGUUUAUCACCAGGCAGUUAUUCUUGCACCACUCUGAGAUGCUCCGCAAGUCGUUGUUCACCCUGGUCACUCCAUCGGCAUGGUCUGACGGUGGAAAUGGCAGGUACAACUGCAAGUCAUCUGCAUAUAAAUGAUGAUGGCAGUGUCUUAUAGUUCCCGUUAUAUCUGCACUGUAUAAAAUGUAUAAGAUAGGGCCUAAUAUUGAUCCUUGAGGGACUCCGCGGAUUACUGGUUUCAGUGUCGAUUCCAACGUAGUACCAUCCUUUUGCUUUAGCUGAACAUACUGAUGUCUUUGUGUGAGGUAACUGUGGAACCAUUUUACAGCAGUGAUAUGAAGACCAUAGUAACUCAUCUUUGAGAGAAGAAGGGGAAUGCUGAUUGUGUCAAAGGCGCGCGAGAAGUCGAGCAACAACAUCAAUGACACUUGGCCCCUGUCCUGGGCAGCCAAGAGAUUGUCAACCACAUCAGCCAGUGCGGUUGCAGUUCCAUGACCUCUCCGGAAGCCAGACUGAUAGUGCGGGAGAAUGUCUUGUUCUUCAAGGUAUUUGGGACCCGCGACUGUUAGUCAUAUGCUUGGCGAGCCGAAAACCGUGUCAAGGUCGACCAGGGUGCGAAUUUGGUACACCUGCGCACCAUCACUCUUACGAGCAAAAAUGCGACCCCGUCUCGUCCAAGAGUAUCUCCACUGAAGCCGAUGACACUCCUCGCGCACCCGGUAGAAUAGCUGGCGAUUGAAGCGAGUCAGGCGCUCGUUGAUGUACACCCGGCCGCCGCCCU